UACGGAGGGUGCGAGCGUUAAUCGGAAUAACUGGGCGUAAAGGGCGCGCAGGCGGGCUUUUAAGUCAGAUGUGAAAUCCCCGGGCUCAACCUUGGAAUUGCAUUUGAGACUGGGAGUCUAGAGUACUGUAGGGGGGAGUGGAAUUCCACGUGUAGCGGUGAAAUGCGUAGAUAUGUGGAGGAACACCAGUGGCGAAGGCAGCUCCCUGGACUUGUACUGACACUGAUGUGCGAAAGCGUGGGGAGCAAACAGG
Molecule: ribosomal RNA, 253 nt
Filed under: uncultured bacterium
Lineage: Bacteria
Description: partial 16S ribosomal RNA
Rfam family: Bacterial small subunit ribosomal RNA
Source: RNAcentral